This is a long non-coding RNA of Cavia porcellus (domestic guinea pig), 1985 nucleotides long. RefSeq lists it as uncharacterized. The transcript has 2 exons. Lineage: Eukaryota; Metazoa; Chordata; Mammalia; Rodentia; Caviidae. The record is from RefSeq and is a predicted model, not a curated record.
UGCUUUUCAAACUUUAUUUUCCAAUAAAAUUUUAUUUUCUCUCUUUCUCCAUUUUCCAAUUUACAUGGGUCCCUCUACUCAGUUAGCUGCGGAAAGCAGAGUCAUUUCUGUGUCCUUGAUUCUCAUUUACAUGUAGUUCUUCCUGCCACCAGCUUAAAUCUCCUGAUUCUGUGGCUCAUUCAUAGAGAAACUCUGGAGCUCAGCCAUGUCCUGUGUUCUUCAGCAUCAGGAUAAAUGUGUCUGUGAUGACACUGUGAUGACCCAGUCUCCAGGCUCCCAGGCAGUAUCAGCUGGAGAGAGCACCACCAUCCAUUGCAAGUCCAACCAGAAUCUUCUACACAGUGGUUUCAAUGUGAAACUAUUUACAUGAUACCAGCAGAAACCAGGACAAUCUCCCAAGCUGCUCAUCUAUGGGACAUCCAACUGGGCAUCUGAGAUCCCUGACUGGCUCAGGGGCAGUGGGUCUGUGAUGGAUUUCACUCUCACCAUCAGCAGCAUGCAAGUUGAAGAUGUGGUAGGUUACUACUGUAAGCAGGCUCUUAAUGCUCCUCUCACAGUGAUUCAGCCUCAAACAUAAACUCCCUCUCAGGAUCUUCCCAGCUGCUUGCUCUCCACAUGGCUGAGGGCUUGAACACAUCCUCCAGCUGCCUGAAAGAAUGUGUCUUCACUGAUGCAUGAGGAAGACUGCAGGUUUUAGUGGAAACUACAGGGGCUCCUGAUUUCAUAGAUGCUUUGCUAUAGGAAAAUGUAGAGAAGAUAUUUGUAUUAGUCUUGCAUCUUUCAUAAUAAUUUACAAAAUCAUAGCCUUGAAAUGAGAAAUUCAUUAGUUUAUACUUGUGUAGGACAAAAUCAAGCACUAGACUCAAGAACUAAAAUGAACAUGGUGUCAGGCGACUUUUCAUUUGUGCACUGUAAAAUGGAAUCCAUUUUUUAGCUUUCUUGUAUCUUGAGUUCUUUUCACUCCCUGGCUUGUGGUCUUUUCCUCCAUCUCUAUCAUGAGCACCAUUUCAUUUUGUCUGGUGUUUGUCAAAUAGUGAUAUUGUUCUCUGACUAUGCCUAUCUACUCUUCAAACUUGUACAUUAAGAAAACGUGCUUCCACUAAUGAUAAAUAUAGUUUUGUAUUUAAUAGCAUAUACCUGUUAAUCCUCACAUGUCAUAUUAAUUAACACAUUCUAUGUUUAGUGAUGGAGAUCUUUGUGCCUCCUUGGAAUCAGGGUGCUAACUAAUCUCAUAAAUGUGUUCACUUUAAAUGGGAAUUGAGCGUCUACACGUUUGCCUAACUUCAUGGAGGAGACAUGGGACUUGGAGUUUUCAGCAAUGCUGAAAUUUGAUAACUGUUAUGUAGGACUAAAUUCCUUUUAUAUAAUGAACAUUAGCCUUUGAGGGCCAGGACAGAAUGUUUGACCUAUAUUUAUAUAAUGUUGAUAGACUUAAUGCUGGCUGCUAAGGAUUUUUAAAGCUAUGUUAUAAUGUACCAUGUUUUGAAAUAAUAAGAAUUAAGAUGUCUUUGCAUCUGAAAACUGGCUUAAACAAAUGUGUCUGGUUACCAAGUUGACCAGGGGUGGAUUGUUAUGGUUGAGACAUUGUGCUAAAUUGAGAAAUCUAGAUGAUUAAGGUAUUCAGCAUCCCUCUGUCCUGGGUGUUAAGGGCAUGCUUUACUUCUCUAGCACAUCAUCUAUUUUGUCAAGGUGAGGAGGUCAGAAGUUUAACUAAGUGAUUCAGCAGGGAGCUAGAGUUUGGCUUUGUAAAUAUCCCCAGCUUGUGCAACAAGAGACAGGGUAUGACUGCAACAUCUUGAGAAGGGGCAUAGCUUGCUUACAAUGUAAGGAAGGAAAACAAGCAUCCUCUCCUCUUUUACACUUUUUGCUUUUGGUAAAUGCCCUAGCCAUCAUAAAUGUUUUCCCCUCUGCCCUGCCUUGGAGCCAGCUGAAUACGGACUGAAUCCUCAACAUAUUGCAAGCUAAAUAAACCUUUCUUUCCUUCA